This 3107-nucleotide long non-coding RNA is filed under the name Equus caballus (horse). Its description in RNAcentral is "fibrous sheath interacting protein 1 (ENSECAG00000024912.3)". Lineage: Eukaryota; Metazoa; Chordata; Mammalia; Perissodactyla; Equidae. The record is from RNAcentral.
UAACUAGGUAUAUAUAUAUAUUUUUUAAAGAUUUUAUUUUUUCCUUUUUCACCCCAAAGCCCUCCGGUACAUAGUUGUAUAUUCUUCGUUGUGGGUCCUUCUAGUUGUGGCGUGUGGGACGCUGCCUCAGCGUGGUUUGAUGAGCAGUGCCAUGUCCGUGCCCAGGAUUCGAACCAACAAAACACUGGGCCUCCUGCAGCAGAGCGCACGAACUUAAUCACUCAGCCACGGGGCCAGCCCCAGAUUAGCAGUCCGAGGAACUGCUUCUGCAUUUUCCCUGAGCGGAUGCCCCUUGUGUUCUGCGUCGUAUUACUUUGCAGAGAGCCCAUUCCUGGAUUUAGCCACCUUGCCGUUAUUGAAAGUCUCACCCAAGUGCUGGAGCUUGUUACGUGAUCAUCCACUGAGAAGAUCGGAAAAUUGAGGAAUUACUUUAACAGCUACAGCGCUUGUUGAAGAAGAGAGUGGAGUCACUGGUGAACAGGGACAGCAUAACUGACCCUAAUUGUUACUAUUUAAAACUUAGCUGUCCCGAUUGAAAGCUCUGAGAUCCAGGAUAUGAGAGCUGUGAUGCAGGUUUUCAGGCACUCGUGGCACAUGGCCAGUGUUCAGAGUAUCAGUGCCGAUGGCUUUUUACAGGGUGUGCUGGAUACAUUUGGUCCUGUAUCUGUGUGAGGUCUGUGGGAGGUGGGCCAGCGAAGCACCAAGUCCAAACCUCAGAAAGCAGAUUUGGCUUUGGUGACUUCUCUUAGAGACUGUUUCAUUAAAAUAUAUAUAUAUCGUUUGUUUAGGGCUUUUAAAAAAAUCCUUCAAGCUUGACUUUUAAGUGUAAAACUUACAACCCUCCCCCCCAAUAUUCUGAAAAAGAAAUAAAAUAUAUGCAAUCUAGUAGUUCAUGGGAUUCUGGAAAGUACACACUUUCAUUGGUGAUAAUAACUCUGCUCUUAAAGGAAUUCUCUUUGAAAAAGAGUUGGGGAGAAAGCCAAUGUUUAGGGAGUUAUAAAUAUGAUAAAUUCUGCCUGAGAAAUUGUUCUGGAAAGAAAGUCAUAGGAACUUGGGGGCCAGCAUGGAAUCACGGUGCCGGUCAGAUGAGAAUGUGAGAGACAGGGGUUGGCUCUCUGGCCUGGUUAGGGUACCACCCCUCUUCUGCUUGAUGUGUUGGGUGAAGCAUCGCCUCUGACCUGGAGCACUAGUGAGGGUCCGAGAUGCAGUGACCCUCCGUCUUCCCUGGGAAUUGCCGAGUCUUCUCCGAGACCCACCCAGUCCUUUGUGGCGUGUAUGGAAGGGUCCCAGGUGAUGCUUUCCCCAUAAGGUGCUACUUUUGUUUUUUCUCAGCAUCAUUGAUGAGACUUCUGGCUGAUAAUUGGUGAACAGACCCGGGAUUCAGGAGGCCUGGACUCAGUGUGCCUUUUUCAUCAACACAAGUGGGUCCUCAACCUGUCUGCUUUGCGGUGGAGGAGCGUGCGGCGGAGGAACACGUGAUCCCCUAAGUAUAAGUAGUUAAAAAUAAAUGAUUACCUCUUUCCCAGAAAAAUGUAAGCUUUGAUUAUUCUCUCCUAAUAGUUUAGAGCACUUCAAAAAUGUCACUUAAUUCAGCAAAUUUACCAAAAUGCAAAAUGUCUUUGCAUAUUAAUAUAAGUCCACAAGAUUGUAACAGUGAGAACUUAGAAAAUACUUCAUAGAUAACUGAAUGCUUUCCACGUAUUUCUUUUGAUUCUCACAAAAACUGUGUUAGGUAGGUUAUUUUGCUUACUUUAUAGAUGAAGAAAUUGAGGUUCACAUUGAUGGAGGAAUUUGCCUAAGUCGCCAGCUACUGUUAAGUGGCAGAGUCAGAAUUUGAACCCAGGUCCUCUGCUUUGAGCACCACACCCUCAGACAGUUGUUCUGUAGGGAAAAUGUUGGAAGUCCUUGAGAAGUUCCAACAGCAUGAAAGAGGACAGGCUUUAGAACAAGACUGUCUAGGUUUGUAACUUUGUUUUGGUUCUUAGUUUCAUAGGAGCUGUAGGUAGAAGGAAUUUAUACCUAAUUCUAUGUUGUACACAUUUAAGCAAAAUGCUUUCCCAUGGUGCUGCUCCACCUCGAGUAUAUGGCAUAGGCUGUCUAUAAAUGAGUUUUUAAAUUAAAUUAUUAUUAUGGUCAUAAUGUUCUCGCCUGAACUGUUACAACAAACUCUCUACUGGCUUCCCAGCCUUCCUGCCCUCCUGGCUCCGGUCUAGUCCACGUGGCAAUAACAAAGGCAUCUUUUUAGGGUUCUAGCCUAUUUAUGUCCUCCUUUCCUCUGUGCACAGAUGUUCUUGCCUAGCAUCCAAAGCCCUUUGAAAUAUGCACAGCUGCCCUUUUAGCCUCAUCUCAUCUAUAAUGCUUAUUCUAGUCAUGUAAUUUGAUACUGAAUUCCCCCUCAAACACUCUCAGAUUAAUUGCCAAGUGCCUUUGCUGGCACCCUCUCUAGCCUGCAUUUCUAACAUCUGUUUGUCCUGCCAAGGUUUUACAGCCAGGUCAAGAUCCUUCUUCUAUAUCAAGCCUUCCCAUAAGACCCCAGGCAGAAACAGUGUCUCCCCUGGAAUCUUUUUUUAUGGUCGUAAAAUAUACAUAACAGAAAAUUUACCAUUUCAACUAUUUUUUUUCAGCUUUAUUGGGAGUAUAAUGGACAAAUAAAAUUGUAAGAUAUGUGAAGUGAUGGAUGUGUUAGUUAGCUCGAUGGGGGGAAGCCUUUCACAAUGUACACAUAUAUCAAAGCACCAUGAUGUACACUUUAAAUAUCUUACAUAUUAAUCGUUUUUAAGUGUACGAUUCAGUGGUAUUAAGCACAUUCACGUUAUUGUGCAACCAUCACCACAUCCAUCUCCAGAACUUUUUCGUCUUCCCAAACUGAAACUGAGGAGUACCCAUUAAAUGAUAACUCCUUACUUCCCCCUCCUCCCAGACUGUGGCAGCUAUCAUUCUACUUUCCAACUCUAAGAAUUUGACUACUCUGGGUACCUCAUAUAAUUGGAAACCGACAAUGUUUGUUCUUUCACGUCUGGCUUAUUUCACUUAGCAUAAUGUGCUCAAGGUUCAUUCAUGUUGUACCAUGUGUCAGAAUUUCUUUCCCUUUUAAGGCUGAAUAAUCC